GUUUCUUCACCACUGCCACGAAACUUCUUCUUAUUUUAUUGUCAUUUAUUUAUUUCCUCAUUUAAUCCGGCUUAGAGCAUAACGUUUUUGUUAAAAAAUGUCUUAUGCUGGUAAGGUGGAGACUGAUGUUGAAAUCAAGGCUCCUGCUGUGAAGUUCCACGAAUUCUUCUCGCAGAGGCCACACCAUCUAUCCAGUAUCAGCUCUGAUAAAAUUAAGGGUUGUGAUUUACACGACGGUGACUGGGGAAAAGUCGGCUCUGUCGUCAACUGGAAUUAUGUCCACGGUAAUUAAUUAGGCUUCAUAAAUGUAGCUAAUGUUGGGCUAUGUAUAUGACUUACUGCUUGAUUAGAGUUUGAAUUAACGUAGUCGUAGACUCGUAAGUUGAAUAAUAUCUGAUAAUCAUCGUUCAUUAAACAUGCUUAAUCUUCAAUUACUAAUUACAUGGUGAAAUUAUUGGCAGAUGGGAAAGCUAAGGUUGCUAAGGUGGUAUUCGAAGCCAUAGACGACGAAAAGAACUCGAUCACUCUGAGAGUUGUAGAAGGAAAUCUUCUGGAGCAUUACAAGAGCUUCAAGAUCACAGUUCAAGCAACUCCAAAAGGGGAGGGCAGCGUGGUGCAUUGGACUUUUGAAUAUGAAAAGGUGCAUGGCGAUGUCACAGACCCACAUACGUUGCUCCAGUUGGCAGUUGAUAUCACCACAGAUAUUGGUGCUCACCUUACUGCCUAAGCUUGCAUAAAACGCCUAAGGCUCCCAAUCUGUGUGUUGCUGGCUGUUACUCUAUCUGAAAUGCGCAUGUAUAAAUAAAUGAUUUGGAGCCAUCAUCUUUCCUAUCAAUCAUAUGUUUGUAUGUUAUAAUUGGGGUUAUGCCCUAAUUACUGGCUUUUAUAUACGUCCUCCUAUCAAAUUAUUAUUAUUAUUAAUAAAUGAAUGAUAUGUGUGUACGUAUGUUUUUGCUAAAAUUAAAUUUGGGUUACGUG
Molecule: long non-coding RNA, 978 nt
Filed under: Prunus dulcis (almond)
Lineage: Eukaryota; Viridiplantae; Streptophyta; Magnoliopsida; Rosales; Rosaceae
Description: sRNA ncRNA
Source: RNAcentral